UUUUAAUUUUUAUGAAAUCUCGGGCAGCUGCUUACUCAACGUUAUUUUUAGAGUGUGAGAAGAGAGCUCCACGUUUGCGUGAACUCCUGCGAUGUGUGUUGGGUCACUGGGAUGUGGGACACGGCGCAGCCCUGCUGCCUCAACUCUGCAUCUGCGCCCCGUGCCCCUCAAACCCACUCCGUGCAAUGGGGUGGGCCCAUGAGGUCCUUCUUGUUCCCCCACCUGAAAAUCAUAUAAUCAUUAAGGUUCAAAAGACGAAUAAGAUCAUCUAGUCUAACUGUCAACCCAUGCCUGUGACCUCUCUAGGCCAUGUCCAUCGGUGCCACAUCUCCAUGGUUCUUGAACCCCUCCAGGGAUGGUGACUCCACCACCGCCCUGGGCAGCUUCACCGCUCUUCCUGAGAAGAAAUUUCUCCUAAUAUCCAACCAAAAAUGGUGGAACCCAUGGAAAUGGCUAAGAAUGAAGGGGAAGUUGGGGAGCUGGGUAAUGUCCAGCAUCCGAUGGGUGCGCAAAGCACAGGGAGGUGUUCCAAGAGGAGGAAACCUGGGACAGCUUCAGAGCACGGAAGGGAAAAGCCCUGUGGCUGAUCCCAGCCCAGCAGCCGACCCUGAGCUCCAGGAUGAAUGAGUGCCUCGGGGAGCUGAGAAAUGAGACAACACAGUGAGAAGAGGACAGUGAGUGCAGACACUGCCAGUACCGAACCUUUGGAAUUCACUGCUGCACGACGGAUAGCCAACGACUCGUGGUGAUGUGCUCUAGCAGAAGGAAAAUCAAAGUGCCCUUUUAUAACUGUUCAGAUAUAAAGUGAAGGGCAUCCAGCCCCCUGACACCAGCAUGGAGAAUGAUGUGUGGGAGGGACUGUGGGAAAUGACCUCACCAUGCACGGCCAUGCCCACUGGCCGUGUUUCCAUCACACAGGGCACAGAGCAAGUGGGCAGUGCCCAGGGAGAGGACACAUCUCUUUUGGGCAGAUGGGUCCCAUUAGGGUUCUUUAAAGGCAGCAAUGGCACCAUUCUGCAGAGGUGUGCUCCUAGCAAGGAAGGCACUGUUUUAAAGCCCACCAGGCUGGUGCUCUCUGUGUUUAAGUCCACUCAGAGCAUGGAAGGAGGGCUGGAAGAAAACCAAUAAUUACUCUCAGAUAAAAUUAGUUUUACAAAGUGAUUUUCUUCUAGAAUCUUGGAUUCACACACGGGCUGCCUGUACUGUAGAUAUACCUGCAUUCUGAUAGCUCUAUUUCCAGUGUUCCUGCAUUUCUGACUGCUGUUGGCAAGAAGCUGUAGAUUGUUUCUCACACAGUUUUCUUAUGCAGUCUUUAGUGUCUCCUCCAAUCCUGGAUGUCCUUUAAACAUUGCACCUUUAAGGUACUGCUACUGCAGGGGCCACAGCAGGAGGCAUUACUGCACAAACCAGAUGAGUAUGGGGGAUUUAGGUGGAGUUACUCCAAUUAAACCACUGGAGAAUGCCCUGCUCUAGGAAUGGCAACUGCCCUAUUAAAGCAAGCUGGGUGUGUGCAUCCCAGCAGCUGUGCAGGAGCACAGCACAGUGGGGCAGCACUGCUGCCGUGUCUCCUCUCAUCAGCUGCUGGGGCUAAUUGCAGGGGCUCUCUGCAGACCUCUCAGCUUGUGUGGCCUGGAAAAUCCCAGGGACAAUCUUCAGGCAGUGCACAGGUGGGGUAACCCAUGGAGCCUGCAAUGCCAAAGCAGAGAGUUUGGGGAAUGGUGGCAGAAAAGCUUUUCUUCCAGGUGGAGUUAAUCCUCUGCAUGCUGACACCCCUGGGGGAGGGAGCAGGCAGGCAGGGUUGGAGAAAAUUUGGGAGACUGCUGUUUCAACUUUGAGCAGCUUAAACACAAACCCUACAGCACCAAGGGAUCGCAGCUCCAAAUGCCUGAAAAUGGGCUUCCCAAAGGCUGGCACACAGAGCAGAACUGCCUGACCCAACUGCAAGGAAACUCUGAGGAAGGGACCAUCUUGACCCGGCUGUCCCGCAGCAGGCAGCUUCCUUUCCCAGGGCUGUGGGGAUGCUAGUUAUUACCCUGGUGUUUUUAAAAAUAGGAUUGAUGUAGCUGCAAGUUUUCAUGAAAAAUAAAGAGAAAUAAAGGAAUGAAGAACGAAAGAGAAGAUAGAAAAAGGGGAAGAAAGGAAGGAAGGAAGAAAAGAAAGAAAAAGAAAUGAAGAAAGAAACGAAACAAAUGAAGAAAGAAGGAAAAAAAGGAAAGGAGGGAAGGGAAAGGAAGGGAAAGAAAGAAACGAAGAAAGGAAAGAAAAAGAAAGGAAGGAAAGAAAGAAAAAGAAAUGAAGAAAGAAGAGAAAGAAAUGAAAAGUGAAAAGAAAGAAGUGAAAAAGAAAUUUAAAAAAAAUGAAGAAAAGGACAGGAGAAAGAAGGAAGGAAGGGAGGAAGAAGAAGGGAAGAAAGGAAGGAAGGAAGUAUGAAAGGAAGAAACAAAGGAAGAAAAAAAUAGGAAAUAAAGUAGGAAAGAAAGGAAGAGGGAAAGAAAGUAAGGAAGAAGGGAAGAAGGAAAAAGAAAGAAAAGAAAGAAGGGAAAAAAAGAAAGAAAGAAGAAGGGAAGAAAGAAAGAAGGAGUGCGAAGGGCCGUGGCACAGCGGUGCCGUCGCGGAGCGGCGCGGAGCAGCGCGCAGCCCCAGCGCUGUGCCCUCGGCAGGUGGCGGCAGAGCGCGGCCGUGGGCCGGGGGGGGCCGGGGGUGUUCGGGCUGCGCUGCACCAGGGGGAUCCGAGGGGCCGUGCGAAGCGAUUGAAAAAUGAAGUCUUCUAGAGAAAGCAGGAGUUUUGAUGUAUGGCAUCUAUGCGUUUCUAUCCGUAGGUAUAGACGGAACAAAAAAAGGCGUAUUUAAGCCUAAAAAAGAGAGAGAGCGUCGGGGUGGGACGCGGGGCGGCGGAGGGAGGCCCGGCCCCGGGCAGCUGGGUUGGGGGGGGGGGGGGGUGAUGCGGGGGGCCCGGCCCAUCGCGGGGUGCUCCGAGCGGGGAGCGGAGCCGGGGAGCAGCGGUAGAGACGCGGGGUGCGCCCGGCUGCGGGCAUGUGGAGCUCGGGAGGUUCUUCUCCAUCUCCUCCUCGCUCAGCAUCGAGGGGAAAAAAAUAAUAAUAACAAUAAUAAAAAAAAGUCACAAUAAUAAAAGUCCUUCGGGACUCCAUUCCGCUAAAAAAAAAAAAAAAAAAAAAAAAAAAAAAAAAAAGCCAAGAAAACCGCAUCAUCUCCAGUCCAUUCGCCUCCUUCUCGAGUCCCUCGGAAAGCGAGAUUAAAGGGGAAAGUCGCAGCUGUAUAUUUGUGUUUUCAUUGCUAGAAGGGAAUUGAUUUCCUCGCAUUUAUUUUUGUAGUUGCAAUACACAAGGGCGGAUUUGCGUCACCCAAGCAACUUGCUGGUCGAGAUAAAGUUGCACAAAUAUUGAAAAGGGAAGUGCUCGCGCUCAUUAUGAAGUUUUUCUCCGGAAGAAAUAAGGAUUUCUGCUGUAUCCUAAAAUACUGAAGCCGCUUCUAUUUUAGGACAAAUCUCGCAGGCACAUCCGCUCAUUUAGUCCGAGUUGGAACCUCUCGAAAAAACAGGAGAUGACCCGGGCUGCAGCCGAGCCCCGCGCUUCCUGCAGCCUUCGGGCACCGCUGCGCACGGGCUGCGCGGCCGCGCAAAGCUGCGCGCCCCGGGGCGGAGGGGGGGGUGGGGGGGCAGCGGGCACUGCUGCGGGAUCCGGGAAUAAAGGGGAAAACAACCGAACGACAGCAGCGAUGCACCUUUGCUGCCGAUACAUACGCGGUCCCGGUGUCGGUUCAGCGAUGACUGAGUUUCUCCCCGGCGAGGGGACGGGGUGGGGGUGGCGGCGUUCGUUGCCGCUGGGAGCAGCGGUGGGGGGCACGGCCCGGCAGGGGCGCGGGACCGAAGGGUGGGCGCAGACUCGUUUGGGCCGGAGCGAGAGCGGAGGAGCCUCAACGGGGCCGGCAGCGCGGGGGGAUGCGGGGAAGUGGGAUACGGAAGAAGCUCAGAGCCGAGCCAGUCUCGCUUUCCCGUCGCUUUCGGACACGGCUCGGCAGUGGUUGUUAUCGUUUUCAUUUCAACGGCGCUGAUAAAACCCAGCGCAAACCGAAGCCGUGCCCGUGGGCGCGCUGUCACCCGGCCCGGGAACGCGCUCGGCUUCGGGCACAAAGCGCGGCUGCCCCGUACCUGCGGGAGGGGACCUUUCCGCCGUCAGGCCCUGCGAAGGAGCCGAAUUUUGAGCGCUAUUUUCAAAACUAAUAGUAUUUUUUUUUUUUUUUUUGAAACAAAACCGAAGCAAAUCCGCAACCGUAACGACUCCAGACCUGCUCACAGCGUCUCCGUUUGUGGAAACGACAAUAAAAAACGUUCUUUAUACGUA
Long non-coding RNA from Gallus gallus (chicken), 4361 nucleotides. RefSeq lists it as uncharacterized. Lineage: Eukaryota; Metazoa; Chordata; Aves; Galliformes; Phasianidae. The record is from RefSeq and is a predicted model, not a curated record. The transcript is spliced from 2 exons.